GCUAUCGGAUUGAUACUAAGCCAUGCGAGUCAUUGUAGCAAUACAAGGCAGACGGCUCAGUAACGCGUAGUCAAUCUACCCUAUGGACGGGAAUAACCUCGGGAAACUGAGAAUAAUGCCCGAUAGAACAUUAUGCCUGGAAUGGUUUAUGUUUCAAAUGAUUUAUCGCCAUAGGAUGGGACUGCGGCCUAUCAGUUUGUUGGUGAGGUAAUGGCCCACCAAGACUAUUACAGGUACGGGCUCUGAGAGGAGUAGCCCGGAGAUGGGUACUGAGACACGGACCCAGGCCCUAUGGGGCGCAGCAGGCGAGAAAACUUUGCAAUGUGCGAAAGCACGACAAGGUUAAUCCGAGUGGUUUCUGCUAAAGAAACCUUUUGUCAGUCCUAGAAACACUAACGAAUAAGGGGUGGGCAAGUUCUGGUGUCAGCCGCCGCGGUAAAACCAGCACCUCAAGUGGUCAGGAUGAUUAUUGGGCCUAAAGCAUCCGUAGCUCGUUUUGUAAGUUUUCGGUUAAAUCCAUGCGCUUAACGUAUGGGCUGCCGGGAAUACUGCAUAACUAGGAAGUGGGAGAGGUAGACGGUACUCGGGAGGAAGGGGUAAAAUCCUUUGAUCUCUUGAUGACCACCUGUGGCGAAGGCGGUCUACCAGAACACGUUCGACGGUGAGGGAUGAAAGCUGGGGGAGCAAACCGGAUUAGAUACCCGGGUAGUCCCAGCUGUAAACUAUGCAAACUCAGUGAUGCAUUGGCUUAUGGCCAAUGCAGUGCUGCAGGGAAGCCGUUAAGUUUGCCGCCUGGGAAGUACGUACGCAAGUAUGAAACUUAAAGGAAUUGGCGGGGGAGCACCACAGGGGGUGAAGCCUGCGGUUCAAUUGGAUCAACGCC
This 883-nucleotide ribosomal RNA is filed under the name uncultured archaeon. RNAcentral describes it as "bacterial SSU rRNA". It matches the Rfam family "Archaeal small subunit ribosomal RNA", at positions 29 to 919 of the family's 1478-position model. The record is from RNAcentral.